UACGUAGGGUGCGAGCGUUGUCCGGAAUUAUUGGGCGUAAAGAGCUCGUAGGCGGUUUGUCGCGUCUGCCGUGAAAGUCCGGGGCUCAACUCCGGAUCUGCGGUGGGUACGGGCAGACUAGAGUGAUGUAGGGGAGACUGGAAUUCCUGGUGUAGCGGUGAAAUGCGCAGAUAUCAGGAGGAACACCGGUGGCGAAGGCGGUUCUCUGGGCAUUACCUGACGCUGAGGAGCGAAAGUGUGGGGAGCGAACAGG
Molecule: ribosomal RNA, 253 nt
Filed under: uncultured bacterium
Lineage: Bacteria
Description: partial 16S ribosomal RNA
Rfam family: Bacterial small subunit ribosomal RNA
Source: RNAcentral